AUCUAAGCGAGGAAACAGGAAGUG
RNAcentral lists this non-coding RNA (24 nucleotides) under Cricetulus griseus (Chinese hamster). Lineage: Eukaryota; Metazoa; Chordata; Mammalia; Rodentia; Cricetidae. The record is from RNAcentral.